This 253-nucleotide ribosomal RNA is filed under the name uncultured bacterium. RNAcentral describes it as "partial 16S ribosomal RNA". It matches the Rfam family "Bacterial small subunit ribosomal RNA", at positions 524 to 776 of the family's 1533-position model. The record is from RNAcentral.
UACGGGGGGGGCAAGCGUUGUUCGGAAUUACUGGGCGUAAAGGGCUCGUAGGUGGCCAACUAAGUCCGACGUGAAAUCCCCAGGCUUAACCUGGGAACUGCGUCGGAUACUGGAUGGCUUGAAUCCGGGAGAGGGAUGCGGAAUUCCAGGUGUAGCGGUGAAAUGCGUAGAUAUCUGGAGGAACACCGGUGGCGAAGGCGGCAUCCUGGACCGGCAUUGACGCUGAGGAGCGAAAGCCAGGGGAGCAAACGGG